RNAcentral lists this RNase P RNA (376 nucleotides) under Alphaproteobacteria bacterium. RNAcentral's name for it is "RNase P RNA component class A". It matches the Rfam family "Bacterial RNase P class A". From Rfam's summary of the family: Ribonuclease P (RNase P) is a ubiquitous endoribonuclease, found in archaea, bacteria and eukarya as well as chloroplasts and mitochondria. Its best characterised activity is the generation of mature 5'-ends of tRNAs by cleaving the 5'-leader elements of precursor-tRNAs. The record is from RNAcentral. Lineage: Bacteria; Pseudomonadati; Pseudomonadota; Alphaproteobacteria.
GCAGAGGGCCGGAUGGCCGCUCUACCCUUCGGGGUGGGGAGGAAAGUCCGGGCUCCACGGAAACACGGUGCCGGGUAACGCCCGGCGGGGGCGACCCCAGGGAUAGCGCCACAGAAAGCAAACCGCCCGGCCAGGCUCUGGCCGCGCCGGGUAAGGGUGAAAGGGUGCGGUAAGAGCGCACCGCGCCUUCUGGCAACAGAGGCGGCACGGCAAGCCCCACCGGGAGCAAGACCAAAUAGGGAUGGCGCUUGGGUCGUUUCCGGCCUGCCGUCCGGGUCGGUCGCGCGAGGCGCCGGGUGACCGGCGUCCCAGAGGAAUGGUCAUCCCCUCGCAUCCUUGCGGGGGACAGAACCCGGCUUACAGGCUCUCUGCCGCC